Molecule: non-coding RNA, 217 nt
Filed under: Hespellia stercorisuis DSM 15480
Lineage: Bacteria; Bacillati; Bacillota; Clostridia; Lachnospirales; Lachnospiraceae
Source: RNAcentral
GCUAACUGAUAUUUCGAGGAGUGGAAUGAUAGGGUAACGCCUUGAAACGCUCCCUCUGAUACUGCGACAAAAGAUGAGAACGUGUAAUAGUUCGAUUCUGAUGCAGCUCGCUAAAGUCAGCUGUAUGCACUCGCUAUACCGAGGUCAACACAAGAAACAACGGUAUGGCAAAAGCGAACCAGAGGUGGUCGUGAGUGAUAGGCUGGGAGUCUAUAAA